GAAAUGCGAUAAGUAAUGUGAAUUGCAGAAUUCAGUGAAUCAUCGAAUCUUUGAACGCACAUUGCGCCUAUUAGUAUUCCUUGGAGCAUGCCUGUUUGAGUAUCAUGAAAUCUUCAAAGUAAAUCUUUUGUUAACUCAAUUGGUUUCUACUUUGGUAUUGGAGGUCUUUGCAGCUUCACACCUGCUCCUCUUUGUUCAUUAGCUGGAUCUCAGUGUUAUGCUUGGUUCCACUCGGCGUGAUAAGUUAUCUAUCGCUGAGGACACUGUAAAAGGUGGCCAAGGUAAAUGCAGAUGAACCGCUUCUAAUAGUCCAUUGACUUGGACAAUACUUUUAUGAUCUGAUCUCAAAUCAGGUAGGACUACCCGCUGAACUUAAGC
This 378-nucleotide unclassified non-coding RNA is filed under the name plant metagenome. RNAcentral's name for it is "partial contains 5.8S ribosomal RNA, internal transcribed spacer 2, and large subunit ribosomal RNA". The stretch from base 1 to 105 matches the Rfam family "5.8S ribosomal RNA", at positions 50 to 154 of the family's 154-position model. The record is from RNAcentral.